Cordylochernes scorpioides is the source of this 73-nucleotide non-coding RNA. The record is from the annotation of a GenBank genome assembly. NCBI's taxonomy places the organism in Eukaryota, Metazoa, Arthropoda, Arachnida, Pseudoscorpiones, Chernetidae.
UCCAGGGGCGGGAAUCGAACCCACAACCUUCUGCUUACCGGGCAGGUGCCAUGUCCACUAGGCUACGUCCAGG